GCGCCCCUUAUCCAAAACAACUUCACAUUUGGCACUGUGCUUGUAUAGUCAGCAAUACACCCAUCCAAUGUGAAACUUGAUUGCGGAAAUAGUCAUCCUACUUUUGAAUACAGUGCCUUCAAUCCCCUACACACUGUUUGUUAAGGUGGGAAAUUUCCCAACAUUCAUCCACCUUUACAUUAGUCAUGUAUGUCUAGCAGUGUACUAUUAACUCUAACAGCUUUAUUUGUUUGGAAGCUCAAUCGAGAAAGCUCUCAUUCAUGCAGAGAUAUUAAGGAAAGCGAUGAGAACUCAGGAGGUAAUCAUUCCUUUGUUCUCCAGCUUUAUAUGAAAAACAACAGGAACCUUUGAACGGCGCGUCCUAACACAUGAUAGGCAGAAUUACUUUUUUCCAUUGUUUUGUUUACACCACUGAUUUGUUCAUUGUUUUCUAAUGUGUUUUCUUUUAGCACAUUUCCAUGUUGUAUCCACGAGAGGUGUUAUUGGCGAUAUGUGUAUUAUGUUUAGAUACAUGUUUUUUUUUGUGGGGGGGGGGGAAGUGCAAUGAAAUAAAAGACAAAUCUUAGUGCAAUCUCAGCUCUAUCAUCAAAGAUGUGCUUGACAUGCUGACAGUCUGAACAGCUGACCUGAAGACUGGAGCGUUUUUUUUUUGUUUCAUUUUUGUUUAAACUUUCUUUGCAGUGUAGAGAAAUCGUGAAUGGUGAUUACUUAAUUAUCCUCAUCUGUGAGUUUGUUUGUUUGUGUUACAGUGCGUAGCUACACGUGCAGAGUUUUCACUUCACUCAAAAAUGUGGACAGUUAAUCGGAAAUGUUAAAACACACAACGGGAUCUCAUUGACUUUUGUUUUCUCUGUAUCCUCUAAUGUGUGGCUCGUGUGCUCAUGCCAGUAGUGUUGCUUUGAUAACGUGGGACCUAAGUGGUUGGCCUAAAUUCAAUGAGAUGUCUUAAUAUCUGUAUAACUGAUGUAAUAACUUAUGACUAGUUUGAUGAUUAAAAUUCCCUCGUAUUACAUUUGAAAAUGCCAAUUUUCUUUGGUG
Astatotilapia calliptera (eastern happy) is the source of this 1038-nucleotide long non-coding RNA. Lineage: Eukaryota; Metazoa; Chordata; Actinopteri; Cichliformes; Cichlidae. The record is from Ensembl.